UACGGAGGGGUCUAGCGUUGUUCGGAAUUACUGGGCGUAAAGCGCACGUAGGCGGAUAGUUAAGUUGGGGGUGAAAUCCCGGGGCUCAACCCCGGAACUGCCUUCGAUACUUGCUGUCUGGAGGUCGAGAGAGGUGAGUGGAAUUCCGAGUGUAGAGGUGAAAUUCGUAGAUAUUCGGAGGAACACCAGUGGCGAAGGCGGCUCACUGGCUCGAUACUGACGCUGAGGUGCGAAAGCGUGGGGAGCAGACAGG
This 253-nucleotide ribosomal RNA is filed under the name uncultured bacterium. RNAcentral describes it as "partial 16S ribosomal RNA". It matches the Rfam family "Bacterial small subunit ribosomal RNA", at positions 524 to 776 of the family's 1533-position model. The record is from RNAcentral.